UAAGAUAAUGGUUAGAUAAGCCCAUGGCCUUUGUUUGUGGCCGGGUGACGGGGCUCGGGACGCUCUCUCAAACGAGAAUAUUGGGAUGAACCGGUGAAACUGAAACGUGAAUCAGAACGUGAGUUUACGAAACCUCGCUAUUGUGGUUCAAUUUAAAUUCUCGGCAUCUGCUCCAAAUGGACAACAUGUCGCCAAUACCCUCGCACGCCAGUAAGAAAGAGUUUCGGAGCAAGGGCUUCCUAAAAGCUUUGUUCAAGUUUCUACACCCUGAUGUUCGUUUCAAAGUUAAUCGGAUUAUGUAAUAGUUCGUGAUCACAUGGCAUGACGUCAGGUCUUGUGCCAACGUGGCAGAUAUUUCCAACACGAGGAGAAGGACUCCAUAUUGAACUUUCCUAAAUUUCUCCAUAUAGUUUGCAGUUUCUCUGUUCUUUCCAUAAUGGUCUGAGGAAAGUUCAUGAAGUCCGGAAAAGUGAUGUGAAGUUUCGUCCAACCCGCGGUGACAACGCACAGGUCCUUCUGUACGAGUUGUAAACCAACGCAUGAAGAUAGCCUUUCGUCUUACUACUACAUAUCAAGAAAAACAUAUUCUACUUUUGAUUCACAUGUUCUGUA
Molecule: long non-coding RNA, 612 nt
Organism: Lineus longissimus
Lineage: Eukaryota; Metazoa; Nemertea; Pilidiophora; Heteronemertea; Lineidae
Exons: 3
Source: RefSeq, a predicted model, not a curated record